Molecule: ribosomal RNA, 3104 nt
Filed under: Triticum aestivum (bread wheat)
Lineage: Eukaryota; Viridiplantae; Streptophyta; Magnoliopsida; Poales; Poaceae
Description: partial small subunit ribosomal RNA
Source: RNAcentral
CGUCAGGCGUGUAACGGAUCUUUUUUUUGCUCGAGGCGUGGAUCGGUGGUUGUCGGUCGCCGCUUGCAGGGGUGAGGGGGGGUGGGGGUGUGGGUAGCGGCGGCCGCUGCAGGGGACGUGGCCGCGGUACGAGGCGGAGGCUUCGACGUAGGAGUGGGUAGAGGGGAGAAGCGGGCGGUGGGUAGGGCAGGGGAUAGAUGUGGCGGAGGAGAGGCGGCGGCGCGGGCGGCAGAGGGGUCCGGGGGCUAAGCGGCAGCUCCUGAUGGAGCAGCUGUGGACGCCGGAGUGGGCUCGCGUCCGGGAGUUCCGGAGGUGGUUCGAGAGGGUGGAGUUUAGGGGGUGCUUGGGGCUGCGGCACGAGCGGAAGGAGCGGCCGGAGCCGGAUAGGUCGCGGCUGCAGCGGCGUGAGCACCGGGCGCUGGGCUUCAAAGAGACGCGGCCGCAGCUCUCUUGGGACAGAGGGUAGGAGCGGCCCGAGUGGCCGGAGCCGGAUAGCGCGAGACUCUAGCGCGCGCAGCGGAGCGAGCGUGGGGCGUCGAAGGCGAGGUCUAGACAGCAAAGGCCCGACCUCAUGAUGGAGGGGGAGAAAUCGAGGAGGCUCUCGGAAGAGGCCCCCGAGUUCUUUAUGUUCAUGAAGGAGUCAAGACUAGGUCUCUCCCACCAGUUCGGGUUAUAACUCAAUGACGCCCUCACGCCCGAUCCGUGAAGGCUAUAACGCUUCGAGACGGAGCGACACGGUACCGACGAGUCGCGGUUCGGCCUCGCGCAGGUCCACUACGACCGCACGCACCUUGCAGAGCCACACGGGGCAGCUAGCCCCUACAAGUCCGUGCGCAACUUCCGACAACUUAGGGAAUCACUCCUCUUCGAGCGACGGUUUCACCUCAUGAAUUCCUUGUGCAAGUCCACCAGCCUACGACUCCACCCGUAACGAGAAGCAUUCCGGGGUGACUACGACUGGUUUAGGUUAGUCUGUGACGUCUCGUUCAGCCUCAAAGAAUAGAGACUCUACCCCAACCUUGGCCGCAUGGAACGAGUAACGGGCCAUUACGAGACGGAAUCGGACCUCCCGGCUCAGUUCGGUGCCACGAUACAAUAUUUCAAAGAAUUCCGUUUACCUAACGAUCUAGCGGUGACCUGGAUGCCCUGUUAACAGUCCCACAGGCUCUACCAUAAACACCUCUGCAAGUAUACGGGAGUGUUCCUUCGACGUGGCUUGGAACGACUUCUAAUACUACGGCGUACGUCUCCCCUUUACGGCUGAUUAAAGUCUAAAUGUACCUGGUUCUUGUCCGAUACUCUUAACCAUCGACGUAUACCGCGCUUUUUCAAAAGUGAGACGCACCAUUAGACUACCCAUAGACCAGAUGACAAGUUUUAGUACUCUACAGUAAGAAAACUUUAGUUACUCAGUUUCAAGAGGGGACAAUUUUGCGUACUUUCUACAUAACCUCGAUUCUGUCAUGCUCUAGUCCGGUAAGUCGUUCACUUAACUCUCAUAGUCACUCGAUAAGAGACAUGAAAAGUUCAUGUUAUUAGACGAAGUCGACCAAAAGUUGAUGUUUAUAACCCGAUGAAACAACCACUCGGAUAGGACGUCAAAUCCAAACAGUUCGUAGUCGGCGGUUACCUUCGGUGAGACUAAAACUUCAUUGUAUUAGACGAAGUCGACACGGACUGGGUCGUUCACCGCUUAGCCUCGAGAUACCUUAAGAAUGAAUGUAGUUCAUACUUUACUAGACCUAAAACGUUGGGAUUCGAGUCGUUCUCCACGACUUUCCUAUUACAGAAACUAACCGAAUUCUGACGAGUAUAGACAUUGUAUCUAUAAACCACUCCAUACUUCGCAUCCUACUUUAUAUACUUGACGGUUUUAGAUUUGGGACCUGUUAUAUAGAACCGAAGGUAACCCAAACUACAUGUAGCCAUUUACCGAUACACAGACGCAGUUGAGAGGUUUCUUACGUAGUGAACGUACUAACGUGUAGCGGACCGUCUAAAGAGGAGGUAACAGUACUACUAGAUCGUCGUACAAACCUCUCUUUCUUUACUGUCCUAGAAGCUAGACUUCCGUCACUUGAAUUACCGUUAGACACUAGCGUAGAGUCUCCUCUAUAUGUGUAUGUGGACGUAAACCGAUUCCACUGUUCCGACCGCUUAGUAGUGAGACAAGUUUAUAGCCGUACUACUCCUGCUGCCCUUGUAGGAGACGACGUUUUCAAACUGCUUAGUUAGGGCACGGGGUGCAAAGUCAGUGACAGAGGUACUCGUACCGAUGAACGGUUGAAGUCAUCCCCCUAACCGUGACCGUACUGAUGAACUGACAGCCCAUUGUGGGAGGUCCGUGGGUACCUGGUCUGGUCCAUCGUUUCUACACGUUCACGAAGAUGAAGACUCGAUAUAUACUCCCAUCGUUUUACACGCAUGACCCCAUCUGUGGUAGGUUCUCGACGUGAACCAAGACUUUUCUCCUCUGUGACUUCGAAAGUCCAGUUAUAAGUCAGUAUGUGCCAUGUGGGUUAGUUGUUUCUUUCGUGUAUUUGUAAAGUCCAUCUAGCCCUUCUGCCAAUGUGGACAAUGACUCCUGGCUUCCCACUAGUCCGAUGAACGUUGUCGUUUCUUUUAAUGUCAGAACAACGAAGUUUAGAUGUGAGACCGAGAACAGUUUCAUUGAACAGCAGGGUUUGUAACCGCCCACAAGUGAAAAGAGUUGCGUAAGGCAUCGACUUCUCAUCGUUAACGCCCGUGAACACAGCCUGUAACAACUAGGCCCCUCGCCUCAACUGCAAGACAAGUUCUUUAACUAGGUCUUGUCUCAAAAAGACGACUUAUGAGUAUCGAAUAUCUAUUUCCAUGUAUGAGUCUAGGUUAUGGGACACCAACCGUAGGCCGCAAACGUCCUAGAUACAUAUUUUACCUUUUUAAUGAGUUGAGACUACGACAAGUCAAGCAACCAAAUGUAUGUAUCAAGUCUGUGUGAUCGGGCGAUUGGGCUUCCGUACUCCAACAAUACGAAAAAAAAUUGAUACUCCAACAAUACGUUAAGUGUACUUUACACGGAGUUUGUGUUCGAGGAACAUUAUUAUAUGACCCCAUAACGAGGG